RNAcentral lists this ribosomal RNA (460 nucleotides) under uncultured bacterium. RNAcentral's name for it is "partial 16S ribosomal RNA". It matches the Rfam family "Bacterial small subunit ribosomal RNA", at positions 338 to 795 of the family's 1533-position model. The record is from RNAcentral.
CCUACGGGUGGCAGCAGUGAGGAAUAUUGGUCAAUGGACGAGAGUCUGAACCAGCCAAGUAGCGUGAAGGAUGACUGCCCUAUGGGUUGUAAACUUCUUUUAUAUGGGAAUAAAAUGUUCCACGUGUGGGAUUUUGUAUGUACCAUAUGAAUAAGGAUCGGCUAACUCCGUGCCAGCAGCCGCGGUAAUACGGAGGAUCCGAGCGUUAUCCGGAUUUAUUGGGUUUAAAGGGUGCGUAGGUGGAUUGUUAAGUCAGUUGUGAAAGUUUGCGGCUCAACCGUAAAAUUGCAGUUGAAACUGGCAGGCUUGAGUACAGUAGAGGUGGGCGGAAUUCGUGGUGUAGCGGUGAAAUGCUUAGAUAUUACGCAGAACUCCGAUUGCGAAGGCAGCUCACUGGACUGCAACUGACACUGAGGCUCGAAAGUGUGGGUAUCAAACAGGAUUAGAUACCCCAGUAGUC